Molecule: non-coding RNA, 31 nt
Filed under: Mus musculus (house mouse)
Lineage: Eukaryota; Metazoa; Chordata; Mammalia; Rodentia; Muridae
Source: RNAcentral
UUAAAGAUCCAGGAAGGAAGAACUUCCCAGC